UAAUACGUAGGGUGCAAGCGUUGUCCGGAUUUAUUGGGCGUAAAGAGCUCGUAGGCGGUUUGUCGCGUCGGAUGUGAAAACCCAGGGCUCAACCCUGGGCCUGCAUUCGAUACGGGCAGACUAGAGUAUGGCAGGGGAGACUGGAAUUCCUGGUGUAGCGGUGAAAUGCGCAGAUAUCAGGAGGAACACCGGUGGCGAAGGCGGGUCUCUGGGCCAAAACUGACGCUGAGGAGCGAAAGCGUGGGGAGCGAACAGGAUUAGAUACCCUGGUAGUCCACGCCGUAAACGUUGGGCGCUAGGUGUAGGGGACCUUCCACGUCCUCUGUGCCGCAGCUAACGCAUUAAGCGCCCCGCCUGGGGAGUACGGCCGCAAGGCUA
RNAcentral lists this ribosomal RNA (378 nucleotides) under uncultured bacterium. RNAcentral describes it as "bacterial SSU rRNA". It matches the Rfam family "Bacterial small subunit ribosomal RNA", at positions 521 to 896 of the family's 1533-position model. The record is from RNAcentral.